UACGGAGGGUGCAAGCGUUAAUCGGAAUUACUGGGCGUAAAGCGUGCGUAGGCGGUUGUCUCAGUCAGAUGUGAGAGCCCCGGGCUUAACCUGGGAAUUGCAUUUGAUACUGGUCAGCUCGAGUACGGGAGAGGGAAGGGGAAUUCCGGGUGUAGCGGUGAAAUGCGUAGAUAUCCGGAGGAACACCAGUGGCGAAGGCGCCUUCCUGGCCUAAGACUGACGCUGAGGUGCGAAAGCGUGGGGAGCAAACGGG
This 253-nucleotide unclassified non-coding RNA is filed under the name uncultured Gammaproteobacteria bacterium. RNAcentral's name for it is "contains 16S-23S intergenic spacer region". It matches the Rfam family "Bacterial small subunit ribosomal RNA", at positions 524 to 776 of the family's 1533-position model. The record is from RNAcentral. Lineage: Bacteria; Pseudomonadati; Pseudomonadota; Gammaproteobacteria.